AACGAACGCUGGCGGCAUGCCUAACACAUGCAAGUCGAACGAGACCUUCGGGUCUAGUGGCGUACGGGUGCGUAACGCGUGGGAACCUGCCCUUAGGUUCGGAAUAACUCCCCGAAAGGGGUGCUAAUACCGGAUAAUGUCUUCGGACCAAAGAUUUAUCGCCUUUGGAUGGGCCCGCGUUGGAUUAGCUAGUUGGUAGGGUAAAAGCCUACCAAGGCGACGAUCCAUAGCUGGUCUGAGAGGAGGAUCAGCCACACUGGGACUGAGACACGGCCCAGACUCCUACGGGAGGCAGCAGUAGGGAAUAUUGGACAAGGAGCGAAAGCGUGACCCAGCAACGCCGCGUGAGUGAUGAAGGCCUUAGGGUUGUAAAGCUCUUUUACAAGGGAUGAUAAUGACAGUACCGGGAGAAUAAGCGCCGGCUAACUCCGUG
This 433-nucleotide ribosomal RNA is filed under the name uncultured bacterium. RNAcentral describes it as "partial 16S ribosomal RNA". It matches the Rfam family "Bacterial small subunit ribosomal RNA", at positions 29 to 507 of the family's 1533-position model. The record is from RNAcentral.